GCGAGAUUGACGGGGACGUCUACGGUAUUCGCUCUUCUUAUGCUAUCUUCCUGGGAUUAGUUUGGAAAUAGAUCCCCUUUCUUAUAUUUUCUCUCCACUGUCUCACUCACCAUCGCAUUCACCUGCACUUCUCCCUCUUCCCACCUCUCUUUCCCUUCUUGCAUAUCCUAGACAUGGUUCUGGAGGCUUGGACUUCUUAAACUAAUUGACCUUCUGUUUCAGUAUGCUCUUUGAAGAGGAAAAUAGUUGUCUCCACUAUUAUUCUUUAUGUGGAAUGCUUCAAGAGGUGAAGCAUUUGUUGGAAUAGAGUAGGAGCACAAGAAGAACGUAGCAGUAGAGUGAAGGAAUUGCAGAACACUUGGUGAUAUUGGAAACUUGGCCACUUGGUGUAUAAUCAUUCAUUAUAUAUCCCUUAGAGAGUAUUCGGUGUUUCAUGUAAGGUAAGAAGGAAUUCAUCAAAGAUUCAUUACCCAUCUCCUUUAAUUUUUUAGAGCAAUGUGAUAUAAAUUAUCAAGUAUCUAAUGACACCAAGUUCUUAUUGGAUCGUCUUUAAAAUACCAAUAAGGUUCUUUUCUUCAAUCCUGCUAAAUGUUCAUCAAUUUUUAUGUACAGAAUUGUGUAUUAUAACUGAAAUUGAACAAUAUAUUUUUGUCGUAAUUUGAUACUGCUGCUUGGCCUUA
This is a long non-coding RNA of Lotus japonicus, 680 nucleotides long. RefSeq lists it as uncharacterized. The transcript is spliced from 3 exons. Lineage: Eukaryota; Viridiplantae; Streptophyta; Magnoliopsida; Fabales; Fabaceae. The record is from RefSeq and is a predicted model, not a curated record.